GACAAGAUAUUUCUUGAAUUAAAUUUCCUUCAUAAAAAUAAUCAACUUAUUUCUUUUUCUAGCUCAAAUUGGUCAUUCAGUCUUCUUCUUUCUCUUCCUUAUUCUUCUGUUUUCUUAUCCACAACUUUGGCACAUAAGCUUCUCGACUUCAAUUGAUUUUCACUUGCUAAGUCUUUAUUCUGUCAAAAAAAAGAAAAACUAUUUUUUUGGCUGUUUAGUUUGCUCCCCGAUGUUGCUCCAACUAUAGCUCUUGCAAUGACCACUCAAAUUCAGAGAAUAAGCUUCUAGAUAGUAUUUUUAAUUUGUGACAUGCACUGUCUUUCUCUCUGUUCUUUGCCGACGUUGAUUCUCCUCAGCUUUUAUAGUUACUUCAUCGAGAAAAUUGCAAACUGAUGAACUUCCCUACUACCCACCUCUUCCAAAAAUAUAUACCUUUCGUUGUUUAUAUUACCAAUCUUGAUUUCAU
This 466-nucleotide long non-coding RNA is filed under the name Capsicum annuum. RNAcentral's name for it is "long non-coding RNA (CANN_LNC004351)". The record is from RNAcentral. Lineage: Eukaryota; Viridiplantae; Streptophyta; Magnoliopsida; Solanales; Solanaceae.